Molecule: unclassified non-coding RNA, 251 nt
Filed under: Hevea brasiliensis (rubber tree)
Lineage: Eukaryota; Viridiplantae; Streptophyta; Magnoliopsida; Malpighiales; Euphorbiaceae
Source: RNAcentral
GCUUCAAUUUUGAUCCCAUUCUUUGAAAAUUUCUGAUUGCGUCUACAAUGGACGAGUUUGGGGUAUUGACCGAAAGAUUUGGAUUGAAACCGCAAGGAAAAUCGGCUCCAAUGGCUGCAUCUAAGGCAUCUGCUUCUUCAAACACCUUCCAGUCUCGGAAUUCCGGGUUUAAUUCGGGUUUGAAUGGCAAAUCCUCGUUUGAUUCUGGUUUUGGUGACGUAUCUUUUCAGAAAAACACUAAAUCCGACUCU